UGUAUCCUUGAAAGUGGCGGACGGGUGAGUAAGACGUAGGUGACCUGCCUUGAAGUGGGGGAUAACCAUUGGAAACGAUGGCUAAUACCGCAUAAGCUGGUGACGAUGGGAAUCGUUAACAGGAAAGCUUUAGUGCUUUGAGAGGGGCCUACGGCCGAUUAGCUAGUUGGUGAGGUAAAGGCUCACCAAGGCGAUGAUCGGUAGCUGGUCUGAGAGGACGAUCAGCCACACGGGAACUGAGACACGGUCCCGACUCCUACGGGGGGCAGCAGUGAGGAAUAUUCGGCAAUGGGGGCAACCCUGACCGAGCAACGCCGCGUGGAGGAUGACGGUUUUCGGAUUGUAAACUCCUUUUCUCAGGGAAGAGUGAGGACGGUACCUGGGGAAUAAGUCACGGCUAACUACGUGCCAGCAGCCGCGGUAAUACGUAGGUGGCAAGCGUUAUCCGGAAUUACUGGGCGUAAAGCGCACGCAGGUGGCUGCUUAAGUCUGACGUGAAAGCUCCUGGCUUAACUGGGAGAGGUCGUUGGAGACUGGGCGGCUUGAGGCGAGGAGAGGGGUGUAGAAUUCCCGGUGUAGUGGUGGAAUGCGUAGAUAUCGGGAGGAAUACCAGUGGCGAAAGCGGCACCCUGGCCUUGGCCUGACGCUCAGGUGCGAAAGCGUGGGGAGCGAACGGGAUUAGAUACCCCGGUAGUCCACGCGGUAAACGAUGAAUACUAGGUGUAGGUGGUCUCAAAACUAUCUGUACCGUAGCUAACGCGAUAAGUAUUCCGCCUGGGGAGUACGACCGCAAGGUAAAACUCAAAGAA
This 809-nucleotide ribosomal RNA is filed under the name uncultured bacterium. RNAcentral's name for it is "bacterial SSU rRNA". It matches the Rfam family "Bacterial small subunit ribosomal RNA", at positions 82 to 908 of the family's 1533-position model. The record is from RNAcentral.